This is a non-coding RNA of Schizosaccharomyces pombe (fission yeast), 855 nucleotides long. Lineage: Eukaryota; Fungi; Ascomycota; Schizosaccharomycetes; Schizosaccharomycetales; Schizosaccharomycetaceae. The record is from the annotation of a GenBank genome assembly.
GUUCGUUCAAUAAAUAGCGAGGUAUAGUGGGCAUCUUUGCGCUUCGAAAAUCAAAUGAACCCACCCGUUUUUUCAGUAGCAUUUAGCGAGCAUCAUCUUCCUCUUGCUCUACCUUAAAAAUUCUACUGUACUGCAAGUAGUAUUACGCAAAGGAAUACACAUUCCAGGGGUUGUACAAAAAGCAUCAUAUGUUAUAGAUUUCUACUUCCAGGUGCAAAAAUGCCUCACUUAUUUUUUAUUUUUUUGUGGAAUACAAUGUUAUAAAUUGACUUAACGUGAACCUUAUACAGCCGAAACUACUCAUUUUGUUAAACACAUCAACAAUAUUUCUAAUCACCUUCUACAAAAUGAAACUUACUGAUAUCCUUUUCUAUUGCCUCACUAAACGCUUUGGCUAAUUGGGAUAAUUCAUUAUCUCCGGAUACUUGGACACUUUAUGACCGUGCUCCAGUAUUAGGUGACUUCACCUUGAAUGUAUCUGCAAUAGGACCGAAUAAUACUAUAGUCGAUAGUAUAUACCUGCCAACCGAAUUGAAUGUGACACAAUGGAUGCAAGAAUAUGCAGCUGAACAUUACACCUAGUCAACUAGUAGUAAUACCUCAAAUGCGAUCUCGUGGUGGGUAUAUCGUUUGAUUUGGGAAUAAAGUGGAUGAAAUGGAGUUUUGUGAUAUUUGAAAGUCAACUUGAACUCGAUUUAUUGUUUUUGAUUUCCCGUUUAGUAUAAUAAUAAGUUUACAUGUAGGAAGCUUUGCAUGUAUUUUAUUGAUUUCAACCGCAUAAAAUUAUUGGGAAAAUGGCGAGGUAAAUUGAAUAGCAUUUAUUCAACAACUAUUAAAAAUAUGUUUUUGAAAGUC